RNAcentral lists this ribosomal RNA (398 nucleotides) under uncultured bacterium. RNAcentral describes it as "bacterial SSU rRNA". It matches the Rfam family "Bacterial small subunit ribosomal RNA", at positions 358 to 773 of the family's 1533-position model. The record is from RNAcentral.
GGAAUAUUGGACAAUGGGCGAAAGCCUGAUCCAGCCAUGCCGCGUGAGUGAUGAAGGCCCUAGGGUUGUAAAGCUCUUUUACCCGGGAUGAUAAUGACAGUACCGGGCGAAUAAGCCCCGGCUAACCCCGUGCCAGCCGCCGCGGUAAUACGGAGGGGGCUAGCGUUGUUCGGAAUUACUGGGCGUAAAGCGCGCGUAGGCGGCUUUGUAAGUUAGAGGUGAAAGCCCGGGGCUCAACUCCGGAACUGCCUUUAAGACUGCAUCGCUAGAACGUUGGAGAGGUAAGUGGAAUUCCGAGUGUAGAGGUGAAACUCGUAGAUAUUCGGAAGAACACCAGUGGCGAAGGCGACUUACUGGACAACUGUUGACGCUGAGGUGCGAAAGCGUGGGGAGCAAAC